This 431-nucleotide ribosomal RNA is filed under the name uncultured bacterium. RNAcentral's name for it is "partial 16S ribosomal RNA". It matches the Rfam family "Bacterial small subunit ribosomal RNA", at positions 29 to 507 of the family's 1533-position model. The record is from RNAcentral.
AACGAACGCUGGCGGCAGGCUUAACACAUGCAAGUCGAACGCCCCGCAAGGGGAGUGGCAGCCGGGUGAGUAACGCGUGGGAACAUACCCUUUUCUACGGAAUAGCUCUGGGAAACUGGAAUUAAUACCGUAUACGCCCUACGGGGGAAAGAUUUAUCGGGGAAGGAUUGGCCCGCGUUGGAUUAGCUAGUUGGUGGGGUAAAGGCCUACCAAGGCGACGAUCCAUAGCUGGUCUGAGAGGAUGAUCAGCCACAUUGGGACUGAGACACGGCCCAAACUCCUACGGGAGGCAGCAGUGGGGAAUAUUGGACAAUGGGCGCAAGCCUGAUCCAGCCAUGCCGCGUGAGUGAUGAAGGCCUUAGGGUUGUAAAGCUCUUUCACCGAUGAAGAUAAUGACGGUAGACGGAGAAGAAGCCCCGGCUAACUUCGUG